RNAcentral lists this ribosomal RNA (424 nucleotides) under Acidobacteria bacterium REF-07. Its description in RNAcentral is "bacterial SSU rRNA". It matches the Rfam family "Bacterial small subunit ribosomal RNA", at positions 32 to 488 of the family's 1533-position model. The record is from RNAcentral. Lineage: Bacteria; Pseudomonadati; Acidobacteriota.
AACGCUGGCGGCGCGCUUAACACAUGCAAGUCGAACGAGAAAGUGGAGCAAUCCAUGAGUAAAGUGGCGUACUGGUGAGUAACACGUGGGUAAUCUACCUCUGGGUGGGGAAUAACUCUGGGAAACCGGAGCUAAUACCGCAUAAGCCUGUAAAGGGAAAGGCGAAAGUCGCCGAGAGAGGAGCCCGCGGCUGAUUAGCUAGUUGGUGGGGUAAGAGCUCACCAAGGCUGAGAUCGGUAGCCGGCCUGAGAGGGCACACGGCCACACUGGCACUGAAACACGGGCCAGACUCCUACGGGAGGCAGCAGUGGGGAAUCUUGCACAAUGGGGGAAACCCUGAUGCAGCGACGCCGCGUGAGCGAUGAAGCCCUUCGGGGUGUAAAGCUCUUUCGGCAGGGACGAUAAUGACGGUACCUGCAGAAGA